UAGCUUCCUGGCUCUUACAGCCAGGUCUAAGGGAUGCACACUCCUUGGACGUGGGGAGGAGUGGCGUGGCUUGAAGGAGGCACUCUGGACAGUGCCUGUCGUGGGGCAGUGGCAGUGCGGAGGGCAGGAAGGCGCUGCAGCUGGCUGGCUUCAGGCUGCUUUGCAGUAACCACUUGGGUGACGGUGGGUAAUCCCAGUGUCUGCACCUGGAGCAGAGCCUCAGCCUUCUGGUUUGUAGAAUGAAGAUAAUAUAAGGGUAUUGUGGGAACUCCCUGAAAAUUAUGGGUAAUUUUAAACAGCCAAAGCGCCUGUCAACAUGGGAUACUUUAACAGCCAGGAUGCAUGCAUUGGUGGGUGUUGUGCAUGCUUUCAAGUCAUAUUCCAAGGAGUACCACUUACAGACCUCUCAGCUGUGCAGAUAAGGAGAAAGAACAGAAUCUGUCCUUCGUGCCCUUGAAAAUUAGUGCAUCAUGCAUCUAGAAGACAGACUGCAGGAGCUGUACCUUAAAAGUAAGAUGCUGUCCGAGUAUCUCACGGGGGACACACGCGUCCACGUGAAGGAGCUGGGUGUCGUGCUGGGGAUUGAAUCUAAUGACCUGCCUCUGUUGACUGCUAUCGCCAGCACACAUUCUCCUCAUGUGGCUCAAAUACUACUAUAAGCUAAAGCUCAGGACACUUCUUCCUUGGAAGAAGAAAAAUUCUCAGCUGCAAGAGAAAGGAAUAAGCUCUCUGGACGUCCAGCGUGAGAAGAGCAAGCAGAAACCAUUCCCGCUGUGUGUCUUGCACUGUUGCUUUCAGGUGGAUGCUUAUUGGAAGACUUAUGUUGGCACGGCACAGUGGCAUUUGUGACUUCAGGAGGCCUUUCUGCCUUUCGUUCCCAUGACUCAGCAGAGCCAGCCUGCUGGCGGAGGGGCACAGCACUACAGAGCGCUCGCUGCCGCGCUGCCAGGCGGGGCGAGGGGCGAGGGGCACUGUGUCAUUCUAGCAGCAGCGCCCAGCAGGCGGUGCUGCACACGAGCCAGGCGGGCGCGCUGUUCUAGAGACCGCGGUCCUCAGGCCAGGCGGGAAAGCCAUGCCACUGGCCACUGCCCCCAGCUCUGGCUGCAGCAGCUGCCGUGGGGAACAGAGGGUGCUGGGGGCGCUGUCCCCUUUCUGUUCAGUUUACUUGACUCAGGUGCAACCACAGGGAGUCAGAGAUGGAGCACUGGUGCGAGGUCUGUAUCUUGGGGAGAGGCGCUCAGCAGAGGACUGCAGGGAGGGAGGGCUCCCGCCGGCCGCCCCUUCCUGUGAGCGCUGCCAAGGACCAGGCUGUUUGAGGCACGGCUGGCUGGGUGGGAGCGAGGUCUGCAGCAGUUCCUUCGCAUAUUUCAGACAAUCCAUAUCUGAUCUGGAUUUUUACAUUAUCACCUCUGCACCUUCUGAUUCCUAUGUCCUUUUCAAAAUGACUUUACAGAAUUUCACUUGACCGUCAUAUAAAGCUUACCAAAGUGAAGAAUUAUUGUUCUAGUUCACUUCUAAAAAAAACCUUAAUUUUCUGUUACCAUAAAGAGACUUGGUUUGCUGACCAUGAAACAGACUGUGUGCUCACCUCUAGAGUAGAGUGGAAGACUUUUAACCUCUGACUGUGGAAAGGCAGGAGCAGUGGUAAAGCCAGCUGCUGCCGCACUUCAUGUGUCCCUGGCCUUGAGAACAGGAGAGGGAGCUCUCUGGGGGGAGCUGGCUGGCUGAUGGAGCCAUGAGUGACAUAAGUCUGUCUCUGUUCUUUCGCAAAUACAAGUCCGUUGUUGAUGCGUGAGUCGGCCAGCUGCCCGGGAGGCAGGCAGCGCUGAGGACCAGGGCAGAGCUGUUCCCCCUCCGCCCGCUAAGAAGAGGUCAGUGGGUGCCCAAAAAGGCCUGUAAGAUUUUUAAAUUUUCUUUGACGUCUUUCACAAAAUCGAAGUUUCCCUUUCUUUUGAAUCUUUGCUGUUGUGCCUGAGGGAGAGAACGCACCCUCCCCUGGGUCCUGCCCCGGCAUCUGCUUUCCCUUCUGUGUGAAUAAGCAGGUGGCAGCCUUUCCCUUGGUCCGGUCUGCACCGCCCAGCGCAUUCCCUUGUUUACACCUGUGGGCACUUUGCCUCGCUUCAGAGGAAAGGACAGGAUACAGACUCACUUCUGUUCUGUUCAGGUGUGUACCCAGGAGCAUGUGAAAUUAGCCCCAUCCAGGGGAAACUGACUUUAACCGGCUGAUUCUCAACUCCAUGUAUAAAAUAUUUAGCCCAGACCUUCAACCGGAGAAAACUGGCCCCUAAGAGUGUUGUUCCGGACUGCCCUGGGGAGAAGCUGGCAGGAGCUGCUCUCGGUCACAGUGGGGUUUGCCUCGGUGGUGGGAUUCCAGUCAGAGCCUGAUCCUCAGGUCUGUUACCUGUGAAACAGACCAGGAAUGCUGCUGCCCCUGUAGCCCUCCUCUGAACCCUGCCGUUCACAUUUUCUUUGUUUAAAUUCAACCUCUUCCCAAAAGUGAGAGAGAAUCCUCAUGGACUUGUGCCGAGAUGCGCCUGCUGCUCCUCCACACACCUGGGUUCCAUCCACCUUGGCCAGCUGGGCCAGAAAGGGACUUGCUCUCCCCCGUGCCCACCGUGGCGAUAAAAAUAAAAAUCAAAAAAAUAAGAAAUCUACCUCAGUUGACAGAUUCGACCUCUAGGGUUUUUUUCAACUUGUGAGUCUUACCUGUUGAGUGGAACUUUCGCAGUGUCUUGCUUUUCUGAGCAAGCUAGCGAGGCACAACAGAGCAGAAGGACUUCAGUCACUGUGAUGGGCCUCUCCUAGCAUAUUGCAGUUUUAUUUUUAACAAACUGAUAAGUGAUAUGAAUGUAAAGGUAAUUGUAGCGCAUUUUAAACACGACAAUGAAAAUUUAAAAUGUAGCUUCCAGACUUGUGCAUAAUUCCAAAGUAUUUUAUUUUUAUCAGUGUUAAAUAGCUUUUUGUACAGGCUUCAAUCCAUUUUUCUGAAAUGUGCUGUUUUUUAAUGAAAGUAACUAUAAUCUUUUCACAUCCCAUGGAACUGCUGUUUACACAUUGCAACUUUUUAAACUUAACCAUAUUUUUCCGAAUUAACUUUUUUGGAGGGAGGAAAUUCCCCACUUGCUAAAUGAUACUAAACUGUCGUUUGGGCUCUUAUAAUUAGGUCCUCAGAUUUUAUAAAAGGGUAGUCUGUAGCUUUCUAGGUUCUUCACUAACUAAAGUUGGUUGUACAUAAAUAAUAGAGUGACACCCAAAAUCUUUUAAAUAUCUGGGUUUUCCACUAGCGACAUAGCGUGGAGAAGUAUUUUGUUCAUGCAUACUUUAGCCAUUAAAUUGGACACAUCUUGAGCUUCUCUUAGUUAAUGCGAACCGUUUGUUUUUUUUUAUUGUACUUGAGACAGGAUAUUUUAAUAUAAUUUUUGCCUAAAUCAAACAGCCCACUCUAAAUGUUAAUUUUUAAAUGUCAGACUUUGGUGAGCCAUCUCUUUGGGAAGUAAGAUUACAGUAUGCUUAAUUUUCAGUGGUGGCUAAAGACAAAAUUCUGGGAUUUGUUACUAUUAAAGCUUCAUUAAGAGAAAUUGAUAGAGACUUUCUAUUUUUUGAUCAACUGAAUGGAUACCAAUGUCAGUGUAUGGGAAACUUUUCUUAAAACUUGUUCAUGUAUUCUUUUGAUCCAUUUUCUGUGGCAUUUGGUGC
This 3696-nucleotide long non-coding RNA is filed under the name Heterocephalus glaber (naked mole-rat). RNAcentral's name for it is "lncRNA (ENSHGLG00100037666.1)". Lineage: Eukaryota; Metazoa; Chordata; Mammalia; Rodentia; Bathyergidae. The record is from RNAcentral.